AGUAAAAAAUAGCUCUCUCAAGUAUCCAAUUUCAAGAUCUUUGAAAAUAUCUCUGCAUAUUAUAGACCUUUGAUUUCUUUUCUCUCCCUAGGUACAAGAGACCUGCUUGUCACCUCUCCUGUCUGUGAAAUACGAUUUAUGAUGAAGAUAAACGAUUACAAUAGCAUUUGAAACCAGGUGCACAGUGAGGGGGGAGCAGCCGUUGGUCCCUGCGUGAGGUGGGCAGCUGUGAGGCGAGGUGAGGUGAGGUGGGCACCUCCCCCCCCCAGCUCUGUGAGGGGCCAUUCUAACGGGCACCCUCAUGGCCGGCCUGGGUGUGAGGAGCUUCUGAGGGACUUCAGGAGACCCCGUAUUUAGCUUGUGAGGAGAACAUUUGUUCUGUGGUGUUUGCUUUGUUGUUUGUUUGUUUUGUCUAGCUUAAAAAAUGCUGGUUGUUUUCAGCUUGGUAGCCUUCCCUUCUGGUUAAUGUUGUGUUGUUAGAGGAGUGAGCAAUUUACCAAUAGCACAGACACAUCAAGCUUUUACUUUGUGGGCCCAAAAAAAUGAGUAUUACACCUGUAUAUCUAAAGAUAUUUAAAUGUGUUUUUCUUUUACUAUUCCCUUAUAGAUUAACACCAGAGUUGUGGUCCUGCCCAUCACCCAACACACACAGGUGGAGCAGCGUUGGUGUGAAAUACUGGAGCAGUCAUGCCUGGUGGGCUUUGGAAACAGCAGAAGCUGUGUGUGCUGUGCUUGGCUUUCAGGAUUUCAGAAGUUCGUACUGCUGUGGCAGGUGAAACCCCAGACUUCUCACGUUGAUGCUGGUACUACGUUUUGAAGAUAGAAUAAAUGGAUGAAAUGUCAAGCAGCAUAGUAAGUACAGCAUUUACCUGAGACCAUUUUCUCCCUUUACUUAAGGACCCAAUUGCUAAGAUACUGGCACUUCUGGCAGCUGUCUUCAGUUUCUGGCUUUCUUCAUAGAUUUGGUUAUUGCUUCUAUUGGUAUACUGUCAAGAAAAGGUUAAGUAUUAAUAGUCUGACGUUUCUGAUUGAAAACUGUUUCUUGGUAGAUAACAUCCAUUUCUAAAACAUAUCCAUAUUUAAAGAAUGUUUUCCUUACCAUAUCCAUAUCUGGUGAUGAUUUAGGUAGUCAUUAAUCUGUAAGUAGUACAUGAUUUAGUAGUCUUGCAGGGAGAGAACUUAAGGUUAAAGAGAGAGAACUUUUUUCCAAGAACAACAUUAAUAACACUAUGGUACAGAGCAGCUGUAUAGAGCUUUUAUCUUUCUCUUCCACAUUGUUUCUAAGUUUUUUUUUUUAAGAGCUUUAUUUCCUUUUUGUGUUUUCUUCAACUAUUUGAGUACUGAGAUAUACUGUAAUGUCUGAAGUAAGAAUAAGAAUGUUUACAAAACAUAGCAUCAGUAUCUUCUAAUAUAGUAAUAUUAUAACUUAAGAUUUGUACUGAGAAAUCUAUAACCACUAUGACUUUGUAAUCACUAUAGUGUUUUUUUUCUGUGGUUCUGUGGAAUCUGCAUCCAAUUUAAACUUGCAAAAGGCAUUAAUCUGUUUUUCUCUUCACUUUCAAAAAUUGCUUUGUAAAAUUACUUUUUUAAUGUUUUAUUCCAAUCCAGGUAAAAUGCCUGUCAAAAAGAUAGUAGUGAGUCUGUUUCAUUGUGCAGGAUGUCAGCUGCAUCACCUAGUUAAUA
This is a long non-coding RNA of Cairina moschata (Muscovy duck), 1683 nucleotides long. The record is from Ensembl. Lineage: Eukaryota; Metazoa; Chordata; Aves; Anseriformes; Anatidae.